AAAUUGAAGAGUUUGAUCAUGGCUCAGAUUGAACGCUGGCGGCAGGCCUAACACAUGCAAGUCGAACGGUAACAGAAAGCAGCUUGCUGCUUUGCUGGCGAGUGGCGGACGGGUGAGUAAUGUCUGGGAAACUGCCUGAUGGAGGGGGAUAACUACUGGAAACGGUAGCUAAUACCGCAUAAUGUCGCAAGACCAAAGAGGGGGACCUUCGGGCCUCUUGCCAUCGGAUGUGCCCAGAUGGGAUUAGCUAGUAGGUGGGGUAACGGCUCACCUAGGCGACGAUCCCUAGCUGGUCUGAGAGGAUGACCAGCCACACUGGAACUGAGACACGGUCCAGACUCCUACGGGAGGCAGCAGUGGGGAAUAUUGCACAAUGGGCGCAAGCCUGAUGCAGCCAUGCCGCGUGUAUGAAGAAGGCCUUCGGGUUGUAAAGUACUUUCAGCGGGGAGGAAGGGAGUAAAGUUAAUACCUUUGCUCAUUGACGUUACCCGCAGAA
This 496-nucleotide ribosomal RNA is filed under the name Escherichia coli. Its description in RNAcentral is "bacterial SSU rRNA". It matches the Rfam family "Bacterial small subunit ribosomal RNA", at positions 1 to 486 of the family's 1533-position model. The record is from RNAcentral. Lineage: Bacteria; Pseudomonadati; Pseudomonadota; Gammaproteobacteria; Enterobacterales; Enterobacteriaceae.